UCUCCUUAUUAGAAAAUUACGACCAGCCUUUGACCAUAGAACCAGAGCUGAGAACAUCAAGAGCCAGCUGUAAUCAGUGCUAAAACUAGAGUGACUUAUGACAAAGAAUCAUACUUACAGAUAACCUCCAUCAAUAAAAGAGUCUAAGAGGCAUCAUUUUCAUAGGAGUUCAGAGCACAGAAGUUUUUCCCUGAGGCAUGGAGCUGUCACACAAACCAGAAGUCAUCAUGGGAAAGGGAAGUCUUCGGAAGUAGUUUU
Long non-coding RNA from Fukomys damarensis (Damara mole-rat), 258 nucleotides. RefSeq lists it as uncharacterized. The transcript has 3 exons. NCBI's taxonomy places the organism in Eukaryota, Metazoa, Chordata, Mammalia, Rodentia, Bathyergidae. The record is from RefSeq and is a predicted model, not a curated record.